RNAcentral lists this non-coding RNA (30 nucleotides) under Mus musculus (house mouse). Lineage: Eukaryota; Metazoa; Chordata; Mammalia; Rodentia; Muridae. The record is from RNAcentral.
UUUAUUGUCAAAGGGUCAGAACUCUCAUGU